AUACUUACCUGGCAGGGGAGAUACCAUGAUCACGGAGGUGGUUUUCCCAGGGCGAGGCUUAUCCAUUGCACUCCGGAUGUGCCCCCCCCCCAAAAAAAGAAAAAAAAAAUAACCGGGUAUUUCCUAAGACUUUUGGAAUACUUUAGCAAUAAUGAAUAAAAGGAGAUGACCUUUUGUAAGAGAUUUUGAGGGCUUCUAAGCUCCUCAAA
Molecule: non-coding RNA, 209 nt
Organism: Heterocephalus glaber (naked mole-rat)
Lineage: Eukaryota; Metazoa; Chordata; Mammalia; Rodentia; Bathyergidae
Source: Rfam